Molecule: ribosomal RNA, 639 nt
Filed under: Streptococcus salivarius
Lineage: Bacteria; Bacillati; Bacillota; Bacilli; Lactobacillales; Streptococcaceae
Description: bacterial SSU rRNA
Rfam family: Bacterial small subunit ribosomal RNA
Source: RNAcentral
GCAAUGGGGGCACCCUGACCGAGCAACGCCGCGUGAGUGAAGAAGGUUUUCGGAUCGUAAAGCUCUGUUGUAAGUCAAGAACGAGUGUGAGAGUGGAAAGUUCACACUGUGACGGUAGCUUACCAGAAAGGGACGGCUAACUACGUGCCAGCAGCCGCGGUAAUACGUAGGUCCCGAGCGUUGUCCGGAUUUAUUGGGCGUAAAGCGAGCGCAGGCGGUUUGAUAAGUCUGAAGUUAAAGGCUGUGGCUCAACCAUAGUUCGCUUUGGAAACUGUCAAACUUGAGUGCAGAAGGGGAGAGUGGAAUUCCAUGUGUAGCGGUGAAAUGCGUAGAUAUAUGGAGGAACACCGGUGGCGAAAGCGGCUCUCUGGUCUGUAACUGACGCUGAGGCUCGAAAGCGUGGGGAGCGAACAGGAUUAGAUACCCUGGUAGUCCACGCCGUAAACGAUGAGUGCUAGGUGUUGGAUCCUUUCCGGGAUUCAGUGCCGCAGCUAACGCAUUAAGCACUCCGCCUGGGGAGUACGACCGCAAGGUUGAAACUCAAGGGAAUUGACGGGGGCCCGCACAAGCGGUGGAGCAUGUGGUUUAAUUCGAAGCAACGCGAAGAACCUUACCAGGUCUUGACAUUCCGAUGCUAUU